Molecule: ribosomal RNA, 253 nt
Filed under: uncultured bacterium
Lineage: Bacteria
Description: partial 16S ribosomal RNA
Rfam family: Bacterial small subunit ribosomal RNA
Source: RNAcentral
UACGAGAGGCCCAAACGUUAUUCGGAUUUACUGGGCUUAAAGAGUUCGUAGGCGGUCUGGUAAGUGGGGUGUGAAAGCCCUCGGCUCAACCGAGGAAUUGCGCUCCAAACUGCCAGGCUCGAGGGAGAUAGAGGUGAGCGGAACUGAUGGUGGAGCGGUGAAAUGCGUUGAUAUCAUCAGGAACACCAGAGGCGAAGGCGGCUCACUGGGUCUUUUCUGACGCUGAGGAACGAAAGCUAGGGGAGCAAACGGG